Molecule: long non-coding RNA, 2622 nt
Filed under: Theobroma cacao (cacao)
Lineage: Eukaryota; Viridiplantae; Streptophyta; Magnoliopsida; Malvales; Malvaceae
Description: long non-coding RNA (TCAC_LNC000921)
Source: RNAcentral
UUAUCUUGAAUAAAUGAUGAAGAUAUUACAAGUUUCUUGCAAUGUAGCUUCAAUUAAGCUUUCUCAAACAUGCAAACUCCCUUGCACCCUAGCUCCAGUAAAACCUUAAAAUCAAACAUCAUUCUUAAUCACAAAUCACACCACAAAGAUUUCUUGUGGAAGCUAAACUCUUUUCAAAGCUUCACAUAACUCAAACUUUACAAAUCAAGUUCUCCUUUCUUCUUUAACCAUUCUUGAGUUCCUUGAGAAAAUGUGGUCCUUUGGGAGAGAAAAUUUGUCACGACCCGGUACUCCCCUCGAGCCCGUGACAACUGUCGCGGUGUCCUGAUCGAUACUCAUUACCCGGAAUGUCAUCCGGAACCCCGCAAGGCUUUAAUAUUAGUUUCUCAUUUCCCCUAUGAGUAACCGUUGCCAAAUAUCAUGUUCUAAAAGAUUUUAAGCUAUUUUCAACUUAAAUCAAUAAAAAAAAUGAUUUCUGUCUCACAAUGGCAUUUUGGUCAUUUUCUUUUCAAAAAUUUCGAAACUAGCUAAAAAUGUAUUAUGCGAGUAUAAAACACAUAAUUCAUAAUCAAAAAUAAGUUUAAACGUCUAAAACAUUCAUUUAAAAUGAAAUUAUAACUAUUUGAAUAUAAUAAAAAUAUUUAAUAAAAUAUUCUAUUUUCUUAUAAAACAAUAUUUACAGAGUUACCGGUAAAUAAUUUUUGUAGCGUAAAAGCUAAAUAAAUUCAUACAUACUAUAAUACAGAUAACCAAAGUAUAAAAUUUAAUUUACAAUGACAUGUGGGCCCACGAACGAUCAAAAGCGGUAAACCUACAGUUUUUGAGGAUGCAAAUUCAAUUGUAGCCCUCAACAAAGUGAGCUAUCUACCGACUAUCCUAAGCCUGAAAUGGGUGGAAAUGAGGGUGGUGAGAUUAUAUAAUCCCAGUGAGUAAACAAAUACCAUCUAAAAUAUCUAAAGUUGAGUAAAUGGAGACGGAUAAAAUAGAUUAGCAUAAAAAUGAUUCACAGCAUUUUGAACUCAUUUUAAUAAGAUAAAAUAGAUUAAUUUCACCAAAACAAACAACGAGGUUUAUGAUUUCUUGAAAAGUUUGGCUCGUGCCAAAAUCAUUCUCAUACUUAGUUAUUAGGGAUACCUUGACCGAGGGCUAUCCUAACCGAGUCCGCCAAGGUUGUUAAAAAGUUAUGUACACAUAAAUCAUGUUUUUAUUUUGAAAACAUAGCUGUUCCUUAGCGUUGGCUGAGUUCACCCUCACGUGGUGGUUUGGCUUGAAGUGAACUGUAAAGUUUUAACCUCAGGAGUUAUCCAACCGUGCCUCUCAUACUGAGGUAUGAAUAUAAUAGGGUUACUGUGCCCCUUUAAUAGGCUGGUCCACGGAGCCCGUCCACUGCAGCGACCAAUUUAUAACCCACUAAUUCAAUAAAAUUCAACAGCAUGACAUGGCAAUUUUUUUGUUUUAUAGCAUCUCAAGGCAAAUCAACAAUUCAUACUUUUUCAGCACAUUUACCAAAUCCAGCCACUGAUGCCAAUAUUAUCAUAAGCCAUUCAAUUCAAACCAUGAUUUAUAACACAACAAUUAGUCUCCAAUUACUCCAUUUUCAAAACCAUCUUUCAAUUUCAAGACAAUUUUAUUAAAUCAUUUCAUUUAAUCACAUUUUGUUUAUAAAACAUAAACAUUUACCAUUUAAACUCAUUUUUCAUAAAAUCACAAAAUCGGAUAAAAACCACUUUAGAUAAUUAAGAUGAUAGUAAGGUUACUCACUAUAAUGGAAAUCAAGUUCCGAGUACUCCGAUUCUUGAUCCUCGGGUACUAUCUCUUUACUUUUGCUAGAAUGCUCACCACCUAGACAUAAUGCACAAUAAGCCAUUUACUACAUUUGUGAUAAAUUGUUAUAAAACCAAUUUAGGCUCUAUACUAAUGCAUGAAAUGGGAUGUGAAAUUCUCGGGUAACUAUCUAAAUACGGUGUUCAAUAUAAAUUCAAUUAUGUACCUAAAUAAAAUGGUAUUGGCCUAAUUCGAUCUAUCACCCGAUUAAUUGGUCAAUCCAUCCAAUUCAACUCCAAAUAAUUUCAUUUUUCUCCCAAUACUCCAAAUCAUUAAACACAAAUUAAAGAACUUGAAAUAUGGCAAAAUCAUCCUCACAUUUUCUCUUGAAAAAUUCGGCCAUGGUGGGUGCAUCAACACUAUAAUUUUUCAAGCUUGAUUCUCACACCAUAAAUCACUAAUUUCUAACCAAAUCACUUGAAAUAAAAUCAAAAUCAUCAUCAAUAUUCUACAUGGAGAAUUCGGCCAAUGAUGGGUGAUGGGAGGAAGUGAAUUUUUCUUGUUGGCUUUUCAUGUUACACAUCACUAACUAACUAAAAACACUAGAAUAUCUUAAAAUCUAACCAAAACAACCAUCAAAAUCUCUCUCUAAGUGUUCAGCCAGCAAGAGACCCAUCAUGAUUUCAUGUGAUUCAACCAUGAAAAAUAAGAAAAAAUGCUUAAGAAAGAGAGAUCUCAAGCUUAAUUGAAAAAUCUUACCUUUUUUUCACUUGUUUCCUUGAAUUUUCACACUUUUCCCUUGAAUUUUUCCACCUAGGGUUUUGUUCUUCCUUUUCUUCCUUUGUUCUUGCUUUGGCC